UACGGAGGGUGCGAGCGUUGUCCGGAAUCACUGGGCGUAAAGGGCGCGUAGGCGGGAUGGCAAGUCAGUCGUGAAAUCUCUCGGCUCAACCGAGAAACGUCGGCUGAUACUGCCGUUCUUGAGGGAUGCAGAGGAGACUGGAAUUCCCGGUGUAGCGGUGAAAUGUGUAGAGAUCGGGAGGAACACCGGUGGCGAAGGCGGGUCUCUGGGCAUCUCCUGACGCUGAGGCGCGAAAGCGUGGGGAGCAAACGGG
This 253-nucleotide ribosomal RNA is filed under the name uncultured bacterium. RNAcentral's name for it is "partial 16S ribosomal RNA". It matches the Rfam family "Bacterial small subunit ribosomal RNA", at positions 524 to 776 of the family's 1533-position model. The record is from RNAcentral.